ACUCCGCGCGGAUAAUGUACCGGGGCUAAAGUCUACCACCGAAGCUGAGGGCUUUUUCAUUUAAUUGAAAGAGCGGUAGGAGAGCGUUCCCAUUGCUUUGAAGCCAUGAUGUGAAUCAGGGUGGAGCGUUGGGAAGUGAGAAUGCCGGAAUGAGUAGCAAUGAACCUGGGUGAGAAUCCCGGGCGCCGAAAAUCCAAGGUUUCCUACGCCACGGUCGUCGACGUAGGGUUAGGCGGACCUAAGCUGAGGGCGAAAGCCGUAAGCGAUGGACAGCUGGUUAGUAUUCCAGCCCCGGUGAGUUGUCGUUUAAAGCGUCGGAGUGACGCAGGAGGAUAGGAAAGGCGUACCCAUUGGACAUGGUAUGUCCCAAAGUCAAGGUGAUGCCGAAAUAGGUAAAUCCGUUUCGGAUAUUUAGCUGAGAUGCUGGGAGAGUCCUUCCACUACGGUGGAAUGUCGAUCUUUCUGAUUUCAUGCUGUCUAGAAAACCUUCGUCUGCUAUGGCAAUUUACCGACCGUACCGCAAACCGACACAGGUGGAUACUCCUAAAUGGGAGAAGGCGCGCGAGAUAACCCCCCUUAAGGAACUCGGCAAUUUAACCCCGUAACUUAGGAAUAAGGGGUGCCCUCGAUAGUUUUCGGGUAACCGGAUGCUUUUGAGGGUCACAGUAACAGGCCCGAGCGACUGUUUAACUAAAACAUAGGUCUCUGCGAAGGGGAAACCCGAAGUAUAGGGGCUGACGCCUGCCCAGUGCUGGAAGGUUAAGAGGAUGAGUGAGAGCUUUGAAUUUAAGCCCCAGUGAACGGCGGCCGUAACUAUAACGGUCCUAAGGUAGCGAAAUUCCUUGUCGGGUAAGUUCCGACCCGCACGAAUGGCGUAACGACUUGGGCGCUGUCUCGAGGGGGGACUCGGUGAAGUUGAAGUAUCCGUGAAGAUGCGGAUUACCCGCGGCAGGACAAAAAGACCCCGUGGAGCUUUACUGUAACCUGGCAUUGUGCUUGGGUCUCAGAUGUGUAGGAUAGGCGGGAGGCUAUGAAAUUUUGGCGUCAGCUGAGAUGGAGCCGUCCUUGAAAUACCGCCCCUCUUAGAUUUAUGUACUAACCCCUGAGCAAGCAGGGAGACCGUGUCAGGCGGGCAGUUUGACUGGGGCAGUCGCCUCCCAAAAGGUAAUGGAGGCGUACAAAGGUUCGCUCAGGGUGUAUGGAAACCACCCGCGGAGUGCAUUGGCAUAAGCGAGCUUGACUGUGAGGCAUACAAGCCGAGCAGGGACGAAAGUCGGUCAAAGUGAUCCUACGGCCCCGUGUGGAAGGGCCGUGGCUUAACGGAUAAAAGCUACCCCGGGGAUAACAGGCUGAUCCCUCCCAAGAGUUCAUAUCGACGGAGGGGUUUGGCACCUCGAUGUCGGCUCAACGCAUCCUGGGGGUGAAGGCGCUCCCAAGGGUCCGGCUGUUCGCCGGUUAAAGCGUUACGCGAGCUGGGUUCAGACCGUCGUGAGACAGGUCGGUCUCUAUCCGCCGUGGGCGUAGGAGAUUUGAGGGAAGCUUUUCCUAGUACGAGAGGACCGGAAAGGACAGACCGCUGGUGUGCCAGUUGUAUCGCCAGAUGCAGCGCUGGGUAGCCAUGUCUGGAAGGGAUAAGCGCUGAAAGCAUCUAAGCACGAAGCCCCUCCCAAGAUGAGAUCUCCCACCCUUUUU
RNAcentral lists this ribosomal RNA (1692 nucleotides) under marine metagenome. Its description in RNAcentral is "bacterial LSU rRNA". It matches the Rfam family "Bacterial large subunit ribosomal RNA", at positions 1156 to 2824 of the family's 2925-position model. The record is from RNAcentral.